This 420-nucleotide ribosomal RNA is filed under the name uncultured bacterium. RNAcentral describes it as "bacterial SSU rRNA". It matches the Rfam family "Bacterial small subunit ribosomal RNA", at positions 356 to 773 of the family's 1533-position model. The record is from RNAcentral.
GAGGAAUAUUGGUCAAUGGGCGCAAGCCUGAACCAGCCAUCCCGCGUGCAGGAUGAAGGCCCUAUGGGUCGUAAACUGCUUUUAUAUACUAAGAAAACUUCGAACGUGUUUGGAUUUGACGGUAGUAUAUGAAUAAGCAUCGGCUAACUCCGUGCCAGCAGCCGCGGUAAUACGGAGGAUUCAAGCGUUAUCCGGAUUCAUUGGGUUUAAAGGGUGCGUAGGCGGCUUUUUAAGUCAGUGGUGAAAUCCUGCCGCUUAACGGUAGAAUUGCCAUUGAUACUGAGAAGCUUGAGUACAAUUGAGGUAAGCGGAAUGUGUAGUGUAGCGGUGAAAUGCUUAGAUAUUACACAGAACACCGAUUGCGAAGGCAGCUUACUAAACUGUCACUGACGCUGAUGCACGAAAGCGUGGGGAGCGAAC